Molecule: ribosomal RNA, 832 nt
Filed under: uncultured organism
Description: partial small subunit ribosomal RNA
Rfam family: Bacterial small subunit ribosomal RNA
Source: RNAcentral
UACGGGGGGGGGCAAGCAUUAUUCGGAAUAAUUGGGCGUAAAGGGCUUUUAGAUGGUAUUUAAUAUAAAAGGUUCAAGCUUUUUGUAACAAAAAAGAAAGCUUUUUAAAUCAUUAUACUUGAGUUUAAAUGAAGUUAGUAGAAUUUUUAGAGUAGGGGUGGUAUCCGUAAAGUUUAAAAGGAAUAUCAGAGGCGAAGGCGACUUUCUAAUUUAAGACUGACAUUUAUAAGCGAAAGCAUGGGGAUCAAAAAGGAUUAGAUACCCUUGUAGUCCAUGCUGUAAAACCUGAGUGCUAAUUUUUUAUACCAAAAGGUAUGGGAGAAUAAAGUUAACACGUUAAGCACUCCGCCUGGGAAGUACGAUCGCAAGAUUAAAACUCAAAGGAAUUGGCGGGAGCUCAAACAAGUGGUGGAGCAUGUGGUUUAAUGCGAUAAUCCGCGCAAAACCUUACCAGUUUUUGAAUAUAAAUUCAAAUCUUUUAAAAAGGUUUAUUUUUUAUACAGGUGUUGCAUGGCUGUCGUUAGUUCGUGUUUUGAAACGUUAGGUUAAGUCCUUUAAACGAACGUAACCCCUAUUUUUAAUUAAAAUUUAUUAAAAAAAACUUUUUUUGAAAAAAAAAGGAAGAAAGGGAUGAUGUCAAGUCCUCAUGGCCCUUAUAAACUGGGCUACACACGUGCUACAAAGGUAAUUACAAAGAGUUGCAAAAAUGAAAGUUUUAGCCAAUCUUAAAAGAUUAUCGUAGUUCGGAUUAUAGACUGCAAUUCGUCUAUAUGAAGUUGGAAUCACUAGUAAUCGUGAAUCAGCACGUCACGGUGAAUAUGUACCUGAGCUU